Molecule: ribosomal RNA, 164 nt
Filed under: uncultured bacterium
Lineage: Bacteria
Description: partial 16S rRNA
Rfam family: Bacterial small subunit ribosomal RNA
Source: RNAcentral
UGGGGAAUCUUCCACAAUGGGCGAAAGCCUGAUGGAGCAACGCCGCGUGUGUGAUGAAGGCUUUCGGGUCGUAAAGCACUGUUGUAUGGGAAGAACAGCUAGAAUAGGAAAUGAUUUUAGUUUGACGGUACCAUACCAGAAAGGGACGGCUAAAUACGUGCCCG